GGCUGCUCCUGGUUUACAGGCUCUGUAAGACAAAAGCAACUUCCCAGUACUUCCCUAUGACAGAGUCAAGAGGGGAAUACUUUGAUAAUAGAUAAAUUUUUCUCCUUUUAUGUGCUAAUAAAUUAAAUAAAAAAUAUCUUGAUUAAAAGCAGUGUUUUGAGUGGAAGAUAACAGGAACCAUCUCCUAUCAAUGAGUAGUACAGAGUUAUCCCCUUCCAUUUGUUAAUUUUUUAUAGAUCUGCAUUUCCGGGAUAAAGUCUUUGGUCACUGAUUCCUGGUAGGAGGACAAGUACAGGAAUUUUUUGUAAAUUGAAGAGUUUGCUGUUGCAAGAAGUUUGUUCUCUGCAUUUUAAGGAUAACUACAAAAUGUCAAGCUGCUGCCUGUUACCAGAAAGGAUGAGGCUGGGGUAAAAGGCAAGUCUUACAUAACUAUACAGUGCUUCUGAAGAGUCAGUAGAUCUGGUAUUGUAUGAAAUCUACCGUUCUGAAAAUGCUUCUGUAAAAUAUAUAUCUGA
Molecule: long non-coding RNA, 515 nt
Filed under: Cairina moschata (Muscovy duck)
Lineage: Eukaryota; Metazoa; Chordata; Aves; Anseriformes; Anatidae
Description: domestica (muscovy Duck (domestic type)) lncRNA (ENSCMMG00000009339.1)
Source: RNAcentral